GAGUCCGAUCCAAUAGUACGGCGCCAAGUGGCUGAAUUCGGCUAUUAGAUACCNUGGUAGUCACGCCGGUAAACGAUGAAGUAAAGUGUGNAGGUUUCCGCCUUCAAGUGUGCAGCUAAAGCCAUAAGCAUUCCGCCUGGGAAGUACGCCNGCAAAGGUGAAACUCAAAGGAAUUGACGGGGGCCGGCACAAGCGGUGGAGCAUGUGGUUUAUUCGAAGCAACGCGAAAGAACCUUANCAGGUCUUGACAUCUUUUGACAAUCNUAGAGAUAGGACUUUCCCUUCGGGGACANAAUGACAGGUGGUGCAUGGUUGUCGUCAGCUCGUGUCGUGAGAUGUUGGGUUAAGUCCCGCAACGAGCGCAACCCUUAUUGUUAGUUGCCAGCAUUAAGUUGGGCACUCUAGCAAGACUGCCGGUGACAAACCGGAGGAAGGUGGGGAUGACGUCAAAUCAUCAUGCCCCUUAUGACCUGGGCUACACACGUGCUACAAUGGACGGUACAACGAGUCGCAAGACCGCGAGGUUUAGCAAAUCUCUUAAAGCCGUUCUCAGUUCGGAUUGUAGGCUGCAACUCGCCUACAUGAAGUCGGAAUCGCUAGUAAUCGCGGAUCAGCAUGCCGCGGUGAAUACGUUCCCGGGCCUUGUACACACCGCCCGUCACACCAUGAGAGUUUGUAACACCCAAAGCCGGUGGGGUAACCUUUUGGAGCCAGCCGUCUAAGGUGGGACAGAUGAUUAGGGUGAAGUCGUAACAAGGUA
RNAcentral lists this ribosomal RNA (760 nucleotides) under uncultured bacterium. RNAcentral's name for it is "bacterial SSU rRNA". It matches the Rfam family "Bacterial small subunit ribosomal RNA", at positions 731 to 1498 of the family's 1533-position model. The record is from RNAcentral.